UUUGGUUUGAGUACAAAAUUUGUCGAUCAUGCUGGACGACCACGGUUGAGUUUUGUGGUUGAUGCAUCUCCAUGUUUGUGUGGAGUUCUUGAAGCAUGUGAUGGUUGAUAUCGUUCAGAAAUUGUUUGUGGAAUCAGGUAGCAACUCUGAUUGGAGGCCUGUUUUGAACAGAAAACCUGGCUUCUUCAACUAUCCUACAGUGAGACUACACAUACCCACUUCAGUAAAUGGGGAUGUGGCUAAAUAUGAAACAGAGAUAUAUCAUAAAGAUCCUUGUGGAACCAUACAAAAGCUUAUGUUCAGUAAGUUUGACGCUGCAGAACUUGUGGCCUGGUUCAGACCAGGGACCUUUUUGGAUGCCUACAUCUCCUUGCAUCCAUAUGACUUUCAGCAAAGUGCUGGCAUCAGAUUAGUGGCCAAGAAAUUAGUCAUUCACAAAGAGUGAAAGGAGCAAGGUUCUCUAAUCUAUUCUUGAUGAUUGCAUGUAAUGUACAGUUGUAACAAAUAAGGCUAACAUGCACAGAUGAAAACAGCAGUUGAAUUUUAUGGUAAAAUGCUGAAGGCAUGAAUGCUAAUAUUUAACAUUGUUUACAUGUAACUGCAAAAUUCUUUCAGUUUGUAAUUUUAAUCGCAGACAUUGACAAGCCUAAAAAAAUUUUGCAGUUACAUGUAGACAAUGUUAAAUAUUAGCAUUC
This 695-nucleotide unclassified non-coding RNA is filed under the name Hevea brasiliensis (rubber tree). The record is from RNAcentral. Lineage: Eukaryota; Viridiplantae; Streptophyta; Magnoliopsida; Malpighiales; Euphorbiaceae.